This 253-nucleotide ribosomal RNA is filed under the name uncultured bacterium. RNAcentral describes it as "partial 16S ribosomal RNA". It matches the Rfam family "Bacterial small subunit ribosomal RNA", at positions 524 to 776 of the family's 1533-position model. The record is from RNAcentral.
UACGAAGGGGGCUAGCGUUGCUCGGAAUCACUGGGCGUAAAGCGCACGUAGGCGGAUUGCUAAGUCAGGGGUGGAAUCCUGGAGCUCAACUCCAGAACUGCCUUUGAUACUGGCGAUCUUGAGUCCGGGAGAGGUGAGUGGAACUGCGAGUGUAGAGGUGAAAUUCGUAGAUAUUCGCAAGAACACCAGUGGCGAAGGCGGCUCACUGGCCCGGUACUGACGCUGAGGUGCGAAAGCGUGGGGAGCAAACAGG